UCUAUAAUAGCUUAAUCAAAGCCUUUAACCGUUAAUUAAAAAAAUACUAAAAUACUUAGUUUAUAGAG
This 68-nucleotide transfer RNA is filed under the name Aphrocallistes vastus (cloud sponge). RNAcentral describes it as "tRNA-Asn". Lineage: Eukaryota; Metazoa; Porifera; Hexactinellida; Sceptrulophora; Aphrocallistidae. The record is from RNAcentral.